Molecule: transfer RNA, 82 nt
Filed under: Roseibaca sp. Y0-43
Lineage: Bacteria; Pseudomonadati; Pseudomonadota; Alphaproteobacteria; Rhodobacterales; Paracoccaceae
Description: tRNA-Ser
Source: RNAcentral
GCCCGUAACCGCCUGAUCUUGCAUCCACAAUCUGGGAUUGAAAAUCCUCGUGUCGGUGGUUCGAUUCCGCCCCCGGGCACCA